GCGCGCGUAGCUCAGCGGUAGAGCAGCGGACUUUUAAUCCGUUGGUCGAGGGUUCAAAUCCCUCCGCGCGUA
This 72-nucleotide transfer RNA is filed under the name Akkermansia sp. Its description in RNAcentral is "tRNA-Lys". It matches the Rfam family "tRNA". Rfam says of the family: Transfer RNA (tRNA) molecules are approximately 80 nucleotides in length. Their secondary structure includes four short double-helical elements and three loops (D, anti-codon, and T loops). Further hydrogen bonds mediate the characteristic L-shaped molecular structure. tRNAs have two regions of fundamental functional importance: the anti-codon, which is responsible for specific mRNA codon recognition, and the 3' end, to which the tRNAs corresponding amino acid is attached (by aminoacyl-tRNA synthetases). tRNAs cope with the degeneracy of the genetic code in two manners: having more than one tRNA (with a specific anti-codon) for a particular amino acid; and 'wobble' base-pairing, i.e. permitting non-standard base-pairing at the 3rd anti-codon position. Lineage: Bacteria; Pseudomonadati; Verrucomicrobiota; Verrucomicrobiia; Verrucomicrobiales; Akkermansiaceae. The record is from RNAcentral.